RNAcentral lists this long non-coding RNA (1018 nucleotides) under Homo sapiens (human). RNAcentral's name for it is "HSALNT0324179". The record is from RNAcentral. Lineage: Eukaryota; Metazoa; Chordata; Mammalia; Primates; Hominidae.
AUAACUGUGGGAGAAUAGUAAGCAUUGGACACAAAAUGGUUUAGGCAAAUAAUGAUGAACAAAAAUGGUCAGUCUGUGUUCCUGCUGACCCAGCACAGUGGGGACGCUGUGUAGGACAUGACCUUUGGGGGAAAGGACACAAGAACUCAGCGUGGGGGAUCCAGAAAAGAAGUCGCACGUAUUGAAGCCAGUAACGCCAAGCCAGUGAAUUCUCCUUGACGAGAAAGACCCACUUACUCUGCAGAAGAGAUAUAUGACAGCUGACAAUCCCUGGAGGAGAAUCUUUCUACUAAAUUGGCAUCUAUUCAACGAAGACGAAUCCUGGAAUGGGGAUGGAAAUGAUGGCUCAUGUCUUAGCAAACUACCAAACUGAUCCGAGAGGACAGGGAAGUCAGUGUGGGCGGCUCUAAGGAGCCUCCCUCUCUACAGCUGCGGCUCAGAGGAUUACGGCGCUUCAUCCACAAGGCAACAUUGCACAAGUAGCUUUUGAACAAAAGUCAUGGAUACUAUUAAUGAUAUGGUAAUCCUUAAUCGAGCUACCUCCCAGUAGUGAUUAUACUGACAUGGGAAGAAUAUCUAAGUCGUGGAGGCAGCCCACAACAACACUGUGUCAUUGUUCACCCCGGGCUCGACCAGGACUAACUUUUACCAGCAUCUCUAACGUCACCUUUCCCCUGAUGCCUCCCCACAACCCCUGGCCCCAGCUCCCAUUCCCGCCCCAUCAUAGCAAAAAAGUAGCAAAGAAAACCCUGAUCCUAAAUCUUUUUCUGGAUUUUUUUUUGCAAGUUCCCACACACAUUUAGUGUCGUCUCAAAAUUCACGCUGUCAACUGUCUCUAGGAAUCAUUUCCAUCUGAGAACAGACCACACAAAGGUUAGUUCGGUGGGUCUCAGUGAAGAUGUUUUAAUUGUCUGACAAUAGAUUCUUCCAUCAUUUGACUUGCAAAUACUGUCCUCUUGCUCUCAGAUAACAUGUUCAGAAUUAGACCAUUUGUCAAUAAAUUUCCCAAAACUCCUUA